Rhinopithecus roxellana (golden snub-nosed monkey) is the source of this 722-nucleotide RNA transcript. It is a transcript of the gene named signal peptidase complex subunit 2-like, with no coding region annotated. NCBI's taxonomy places the organism in Eukaryota, Metazoa, Chordata, Mammalia, Primates, Cercopithecidae. The transcript has 2 exons. The record is from RefSeq and is a predicted model, not a curated record.
AUGGCGGCAGCAGCUGCACAGGGUGGGAGAAGCGGUGGUAGUGGAGGCAGUAGUGGGGCUGGCGUGGUUCCAGGUGUGGGGCAGGCAGUGGCCAUAGCGGCUUGUUGGAUAAGUGGAAGAUAGAUGAUAAGCCUGUAAAAAUUGACAAGUGCGAUGGAUUAGCUGUGAAAAACUCUUCGGAUGAUUCUGCCAGAAAGUUACUUCUGGAAAAAUACAAAUAUGUGGAGAAUUUUGGUCUAAUUGAUGGUCGCCUCACCAUCUGUACAAUAUCCUGUUUCUUUGCCAUAGUGGCUUUGAUUUGGGAUUACAUGCACCUCUUUCCAGAGUCCAAACCCGUUUUCGUUUUGUGCUUCAUAUCCUAUUUUGUGAUGAUCUGGAUUCUGACCAUUUAUACCUCAUAUAAGGAGAGGAGCAUCUUUGUCGUGACCCACAGGAAAGAUCCUACAGGAAUGGAUCCUGAUGAUAUUUGCCAACUGUCCUCCAGUCUUUAAAGGUUUGAUGACAAAUACACCUUGAAGCUGACCUUCACAAGUGGGAGAACAAAGCAGCAGCAGGAAGUCGAGUUUACCAAAGGCCUGACAAAGUUUUUUGACCACAGUGGGACACUGGUCCUGGAUGUAUAUGAUCCUGAAAUAUCCAAGCUCCAUGACAGUCUCGCCAUAGAAAGAAAAAUAAAAUAGCCAAUUCUAAAAGUAGCCCUCUUUCUGCUGGAUCUUGCUGAA